UGCCCGGUAGCUCAGCUGGUAGAGCUGUCGGCUCUGGACCGACGGGACGCUGGUUCGAACCCGGCCCGGGCAG
RNAcentral lists this transfer RNA (73 nucleotides) under Brevundimonas sp. RNAcentral's name for it is "tRNA-Gln". It matches the Rfam family "tRNA". Rfam says of the family: Transfer RNA (tRNA) molecules are approximately 80 nucleotides in length. The record is from RNAcentral. Lineage: Bacteria; Pseudomonadati; Pseudomonadota; Alphaproteobacteria; Caulobacterales; Caulobacteraceae.